This is a long non-coding RNA of Gavialis gangeticus (Gharial), 779 nucleotides long. RefSeq lists it as uncharacterized. The record is from RefSeq and is a predicted model, not a curated record. NCBI's taxonomy places the organism in Eukaryota, Metazoa, Chordata, Crocodylia, Gavialidae. The transcript is spliced from 2 exons.
GUUCUGCUCUGGGACCCUUCACUGGCUUGGCUGCUGCAACAGAGACUUUGGAACCAAGUUCAUAUUUCCUCCUUUUAGCCCAUUUCAUAUGACUCCUUUUUAAAGUUAAUGUGACCAGUGCAUGACUCCAGCCCUGUGCUGAAGCAGUGACUGUCCAGGAAUUCGUUUGGCACUUGAGAUGAAAGGAAACGAAGAUUAAAUGGUUUGGCGGCGGUUUUAAAAUAGGGCCAAAACUGACUCCAGGCAUAUCUACCUCAUGAAAAGGACAACACUGAGGAAGACCAGGGAAAGUGGUCUGCAUGCUUUAUAUGCACUGGACUACCACCUCGAUGGGGUGGGGAGGCUUGUAUGCACUGAUGACUCUAAAAGUGACACCAUCAGGAGUACUCCUGCUAGGGUCACCCAUGGUGGUAAGGUCAAAGGUGAUGUAUCAGAUGAAGAACAGUCCAACACAACACAAAGACCUCGGCGGUGGAGCAGGAGGAUGCAGAAGACAUACUUCUCACUGGCUUUGAAGGUAGAUGAAGGCUGCAGUGGAAGAGUAACCCCAAUUAUCUUGGAUCUUCUUGCCACCAGACCCAGGUUUCUCCUCCACCAAGACCUGUGUGGUUGCAGAUGCGCAAUGGCCUCCUCAUGUAAAACAAGUCAUGUUCAGACUUUUCCACUGGUCCAACAUCUACUACACAUAGAAAAGAUGUGAAGUAGCUAUCUUUUGUGGGGUGUUAAGUGUGCAUCAAUAAGCAUUAUUCUAAUAUAAUAAAAGGCUUAGUCUGCCUGUC